Molecule: ribosomal RNA, 253 nt
Filed under: uncultured bacterium
Lineage: Bacteria
Also listed under: 1 other name
Description: partial 16S ribosomal RNA
Rfam family: Bacterial small subunit ribosomal RNA
Source: RNAcentral
GACGAAGGAUGCAAGCGUUAUCCGGAUUCAUUGGGUUUAAAGGGAGCGUAGGCGGUUUGGUAAGUCAGUGGUGAAAUCUCUCAGCUUAACUGAGAAAUUGCCAUUGAUACUGCUAAACUUGAGUACAGAUGCCGUUGGCGGAAUAUGACAUGUAGUGGUGAAAUACAUAGAGAUGUCAUAGAACACCGAUUGCGAAGGCAGCUGACGAAACUGUAACUGACGCUGAGGCUCGAAAGUGCGGGGAUCAAACAGG